CGCGACCCCCAGGUCAGGCGGGGCUACCCGCUGAGUUUAAGCAUAUCAAUAAGCGGAGGAAAAGAAACUA
RNAcentral lists this ribosomal RNA (70 nucleotides) under Acacia inaequiloba. Its description in RNAcentral is "partial large subunit ribosomal RNA". It matches the Rfam family "Eukaryotic large subunit ribosomal RNA", at positions 1 to 67 of the family's 3401-position model. Lineage: Eukaryota; Viridiplantae; Streptophyta; Magnoliopsida; Fabales; Fabaceae. The record is from RNAcentral.